UACAGAGGGGGCAAGCGUUAUUCGGAAUUAUUGGGCGUAAAGGGCGCGUAGGCGGCCUGGCAAGUGGAAGGUGAAAUCCCUCGGCUUAACCGAGGAACUGCCCUCCAAACUGCUUGGCUUGAGUCCGGGAGAGGUGAGUGGAAUUCCCAGUGUAGCGGUGAAAUGCGUAGAGAUCCGGAAGAACACCGGUGGCGAAGGCGGCCUGCUGGGCAGUGGCUGACGCUGAGGCGCGACAGCGUGAGGAGCAAACAGG
This 253-nucleotide ribosomal RNA is filed under the name uncultured bacterium. RNAcentral's name for it is "partial 16S ribosomal RNA". It matches the Rfam family "Bacterial small subunit ribosomal RNA", at positions 524 to 776 of the family's 1533-position model. The record is from RNAcentral.